RNAcentral lists this unclassified non-coding RNA (200 nucleotides) under Hevea brasiliensis (rubber tree). The record is from RNAcentral. Lineage: Eukaryota; Viridiplantae; Streptophyta; Magnoliopsida; Malpighiales; Euphorbiaceae.
UACUCUCUUCAUAGUCAUUACCUUGUAUGCCUUCAUGUGUUUGUAAGAAAGUUGAAUGUGCAUUGCAAAUUAUAUAUAGUGUUAUAUAUGCAUGUUGGUUUCUUAAUUAAACACUUCUUUCUGAAUUGCAUUUGUAGAAAUGAACUAAGGCCAGGUUGUUCUCUUUUUCUGCUUGUAAUAAUGAUAUAUACUUUUUUUUU